UACGUAGGGCGCAAGCGUUAUCCGGAAUUAUUGGGCGUAAAGAGCUCGUAGGCGGUUCGGCAAGUCGGGUGUGAAAUUUCGAGGCUCAACCUCGAAACGCCACUCGGUACUGCUGUGACUGGAGUCCGGUAGAGGAGUGCGGAAUUCCUGGUGUAGCGGUGAAAUGCGCAGAUAUCAGGAGGAACACCAACGGCGAAGGCAGCACUCUGGGCCGGUACUGACGCUGAGGAGCGAAAGCGUGGGGAGCAAACAGG
This 254-nucleotide ribosomal RNA is filed under the name uncultured bacterium. RNAcentral's name for it is "partial 16S ribosomal RNA". It matches the Rfam family "Bacterial small subunit ribosomal RNA", at positions 524 to 776 of the family's 1533-position model. The record is from RNAcentral.